CAGCCGCCGCGGGAAUACGUAGGGUGCGAGCGUUAAUCGGAAUUACUGGGCGUAAAGCGUGCGCAGGCGGUUGUGUAAGACAGGUGUGAAAUCCCCGGGCUCAACCUGGGAACUGCGCUUGUGACUGCACAGCUAGAGUAUGGCAGAGGGGGGUGGAAUUCCACGUGUAGCAGUGAAAUGCGUAGAGAUGUGGAGGAACACCGAUGGCGAAGGCAGCCCCCUGGGCCAAUACUGACGCUCAUGCACGAAAGCGUGGGGUGCAAACAGGAUUAGAUACCCCUGUAGUCCCUGUCUCUUAUAC
RNAcentral lists this ribosomal RNA (301 nucleotides) under uncultured bacterium. RNAcentral's name for it is "partial 16S ribosomal RNA". It matches the Rfam family "Bacterial small subunit ribosomal RNA", at positions 509 to 807 of the family's 1533-position model. The record is from RNAcentral.